AUAUUUGCUAAAGAUUCAUCGCUGAUAGAUAGGCAUGCGUUCCAUUAGGCAGUUGGCGGGGUAACGGCCCACCAAACCGACGAUGGAUAGGGGUUCUGAGAGGAAGGUCCCCCACAUUGGUACUGAGACACGGACCAAACUCCUACGGGAGGCAGCAGUGAGGAAUAUUGGUCAAUGGCCGAGAGGCUGAACCAGCCAAGUCGCGUGAGGGAUGAAGGUUCUAUGGAUCGUAAACCUCUUUUAUAAGGGAAUAAAGUGCGGGACGUGUCCCGUUUUGUAUGUACCUUAUGAAUAAGGAUCGGCUAACUCCGUGCCAGCAGCCGCGGUAAUACGGAGGAUCCGAGCGUUAUCCGGAUUUAUUGGGUUUAAAGGGUGCGUAGGCGGCCUUUUAAGUCAGCGGUGAAAGUCUGUGGCUCAACCAUAGAAUUGCCGUUGAAACUGGGGGGCUUGAGUAUGUUUGAGGCAGGCGGAAUGCGUGGUGUAGCGGUGAAAUGCAUAGAUAUCACGCAGAACCCCGAUUGCGAAGGCAGCCUGCCAAGCCAUUACUGACGCUGAUGCACGAAAGCGUGGGGAUCAAACAGGAUUAGAUACCCUGGUAGUCCACGCAGUAAACGAUGAUCACUAGCUGUUUGCGAUACACUGUAAGCGGCACAGCGAAAGCGUUAAGUGAUCCACCUGGGGAGUACGCCGGCAACGGUGAAACUCAAAGGAAUUGACGGGGGCCCGCACAAGCGGAGGAACAUGUGGUUUAAUUCGAUGAUACGCGAGGAACCUUACCCGGGUUUGAACGCAUUCGGACCGAGGUGGAAACACCUUUUCUAGCAAUAGCCGUUUGCGAGGUGCUGCAUGGUUGUCGUCAGCUCGUGCCGUGAGGUGUCGGCUUAAGUGCCAUAACGAGCGCAACCCUUGCCACUAGUUACUAACAGGU
Molecule: ribosomal RNA, 928 nt
Filed under: Parabacteroides distasonis
Lineage: Bacteria; Pseudomonadati; Bacteroidota; Bacteroidia; Bacteroidales; Tannerellaceae
Description: bacterial SSU rRNA
Rfam family: Bacterial small subunit ribosomal RNA
Source: RNAcentral